GCACACACAUGCACUCAUGCACACAGGUACACACAUUACACGUGUGCGCACACGUACACACACCUGUGUAAGUACGCACAUGCAUGUUUCUAUGUGGUCUCGGUUUCUGCAGCUGGUCAUGUGCUGCAGUGCAUAUUUAUGGGACCAUAUUUCUUUUACCCACAUUCUCUGUUUCGUUUGCCCUCUCUCAGCCUCUCAUCUGGUCAAGGUGUGCUCCCUGGUGAGGGAAACUGAGUUACUGUCACCAAAGGGGCUGAGUCCUCAGUGGCCCUGCUCGUUCCUUUACUUCUCUGUUUUGGUGGCUGCAGCCUACUAAUUCUCACAAUUCCAUAUGGCAGUACCCAGAGGCGCCCGGAGAUGCCCUGGGUUGCUGCUCGUUCUCUACGGCAGCAUCCCAGGGUCCCCCUCAGCAGGGGCUUUGUCACCUUGGCUGGCACAGGAGCUUGUGGCUUACCUGUGGAUUUGGAGCACACAGAGUCCAGCAGCUCAGUGCCCACACUGACUUCCACCUCUGCGGACCUGCUGUUGUGUCACCAGGGGAAGCAUUCUGCCAAGGACCAAGACAUCUAAACCAGCAGAGUCCAACGUCCCAGGGACAGGAAAUCAGUGUUCCAGGAGUGGGUCUGCAGGUGUGAGCGAAAGGAGCUCCUUCUGCAUCCAACCAAUGUUGGAACCUGGGUAUGUUGGGACCUGGGUAUGUUGGGACAUGGGUAUGUUGGGACCUGGGUAUGUUGGCUGCAGAAUGGCCCCAUGGCUUGUUUAAAACAUAAAUUGCACCUGAAGAUAGAAGCUCAGCCUUUCAGGGAGUGCUUGUCCAAUGGGCACCACAACUAGGUCUUCACUAGGCCAGCAGGGGGGUGGGGAAUGCCAUGGACCAAAGAUUUGCAAGGGCACCUGCCGGCCAUUGCUGAGAAGCUCUGUGAGUUGACUUCCAUGGCCGGAAACAGUACAGAGCUGAGUGCCUCGAUGGCAAGAGAGGCAAGAGGCAGGUGUGCGGGGUGGAGCCAUUGGAGCAGGGAGGCAAGUCUAGCCCAGAGAGGACUCCCUGAAGCCCCCUGCACGGUGCCCCCAUGACUUCAGGGGCCCAAGGUCAUCCACCAGGUACCUGUGAGUGGCACAAAGUCCCAGGAAAAGCUGCCACCAGGGGCCCCAGUGGUGGUUUCUGCUUGGGCACGUGCGGUAUGCGGGUCCCACGACUGUGCUGGUCGCCCGGCUCACCUUGUCCAGGACAGACCAUGUUGCUGAGCUGUUUGUGGUCUCUAGAGUAUGGGCUGCCACCACAAAGCACCACAAACCAGGUGGCUUAGAACUGACUGCAGGAAUGUCUCUGGUCUGGAAGCCAGAAGUGCAAAAUCAAGGUAUGGGCAGGGCCUUCUCCCUCUAAAGACCCUCCCUGUCCCCGGUGGCUCCUUAUCGGCUUCCUUGGCCUGUGGCUGCCUCACCCGACCUCAGCCUCUGUCAUCACGGGACACUCUGCCCACGUGUCUGUCUCCACGCAGCAUUUUCCCAGUCACACUGGCUUAGAAACCACCCCAAGGGCCUCAGCUUAACUUGAUUAGAUCUGCAAAGACUGUAUUUCCAGGCUGGGUGCCAUGGCUCACACCUGUAAUCCCAACAUUGUGGGAGGCUGAAGUGUGUGGAUCAUUGGAGGUCAAGAGUUUGAGACCAGCCUGACCAACAAGGCCCCACUCGUGCCGGGGCCAUCAACAGGUCUCCUGAGCUGGGAGAUGUGUAUCUCCACCUCUGCCUGUUUCUCCAUCGGGACAACGUGGACAACAGACCGUGGCCGGGAGCUUCGCCUCCUCCAUCGCUUUCCUCCCGCUGCCUUCUCAGGAUAUCUCCACCUCUGCCUGUUUCUCCAUCGGGACAAGGUAGACAACAGACCGUGGCCGGGAGCUUCGCCUCCUCCAUCGCUUCCCUCCCGCUGCCUUCUCAGGAUUCUGGGUUAGAGCCGCGAUUCUGCCACAGCCAACUUCCGUCAACAGAAAACAGUCAGGACCAGCUGUGAACCAAGCCCGAGUUUUCGUCUUCGGUCCAAGGCUCAGGCAGCAGAUAGCACGGUAACGUCAGGCCAGGGCGGCAGGACCCUCAGCCACAUGCUGGGUCCUACAUUUCAAGGACUUAUUGCCUGGUCUCCGACGCGUGUGUAUUCUACGAAGUCAAGCAAGAUGCUUGCUGCUGUCUGACCAUCAGGAACAACUGAUGUGAUGUCAUCAGCAGGGAGACCAGAGCGGUGGCCCCAGGACCUCCCGGUGAGCAAGAUCCCUGUAGAGGGGUGAUCAGGAGGGUGAAGUGGGCCCUGGGCAGGGCUGUGAAGAUGAACCGUCACCUGUGCCAGGUGGAAGCUCAUGCUCCGGGAUCGCAGGAAGCCACGUUUCCAGUGGCCAGUCCUGUGUCUUCUCCCGGGGCACCCGCUCCCUCAGUGGAGAUUCCAUGGUUGGAAAAGUGUCAGCAGCUGGGUCCCCUGGGUGAAGUCAUGAUUAACCCCCAGCAGUGGUUCUCAGUUGGGGUGGGGGUGGGUGGACAUUGGGCAGUGCCCAGAGACAUUUGUGGUUGUUACAUUCGGGGGAUGUCACAGGCUUCCAGUAGGGGAGGGCCAGGGAAGCUGCCAACACCUUGUGAAGACCAAGUCAGCCCCACUACAAAGGGUCACCUGUCCCCAAAGUCUUAAGUGUUGAGAUUGUGCAACCCUCAUCCAGGGUUACUUUCUGAGAUCCAUCUGCCUCCCGCACAGGCCAUGGUGCCAGGAAUCCCUGCACCUGCCGCUCCAGGCCCAGCCUCAGCCUCACCACAGGGUGCUGGCUUUCCUCUCCUGGGUAGAGAGAAGCCCCAGGGGUGUCUGCUGUCUCUCCCCACCCCAACAGGCGUCAUUCUGUGGGUUUGGGGCCAACGUGGGGAUUCUCCCAAUGGCCAACUGUGUCCAGUCCAAUCAUGCAUUCCGGGACUGUGGACGUGACUCAGGCCAUGGAGCUCACAUGGAAGUGGACGUGACCACAGGUGUCACUUUCCUCUGGACUGCAGGCUGCACGGGGCUCAGGGUCCCCAGGAAGCAGAUCGGCACAGAGCCUGCUCCCAGACAGCCCGGCUGGGUCCCUGCUGUGGAGCACAGCCUGCUGCAGACCUGGUUGGGGCCAGUGCAGGGGAAGCGUCCAAGUUCCUCCUUGUGAGUGUGUAGGGGACCUUCCUGAAGGCUCCAGGACCCUGGGGAGAGCGGCCUGGCUGGUGCCGAAGCUGAGCAAGCGGCUGGGACUCCUCAUGGGGACGCCACAGUGAAGCUUCUGAGAGUCGCAGAGGAGACGUGACCACACCCUGCGGAGACGGCCAUGUGGGACGGGGUGGGGAUUGGAAGAUGCCAGUCUUGGAGACCGGAGCGAGGCAGCUACAAACCCAGGAACGUCGGUGGCCCCUGGAAGCCGGGAGAGGCUGGGAAGGAUUCCGUACUGGAGCCUCCAGAGGGAGCGCCCUCAUUUCCACCCAGUGAGGCUAACUUGGGACUUCAUGCUUUCGUGAGUGUGAGAGAGUAAACAUGUGUUGUUUUAUGCCCCCUGGUCUGUGGUGAUUUGUCUUGGCAUCCCCAGGAAACGAAUCCGAGCGAGGCCUCUCCCUGCCUCGUCUCAGCCUCUGGAGCACAGACAGCCUCAGUGGAGCUUGUGAGAGGCCAGGCCUCUGUCACGGACAGAUUCACCCUCUGAGCCCAGGGAAAAGCGU
Molecule: long non-coding RNA, 3708 nt
Organism: Chlorocebus sabaeus (green monkey)
Lineage: Eukaryota; Metazoa; Chordata; Mammalia; Primates; Cercopithecidae
Source: RefSeq, a predicted model, not a curated record